RNAcentral lists this ribosomal RNA (180 nucleotides) under uncultured Glomeromycotina. Its description in RNAcentral is "partial small subunit ribosomal RNA". The stretch from base 91 to 180 matches the Rfam family "Eukaryotic small subunit ribosomal RNA", at positions 736 to 828 of the family's 1831-position model. The record is from RNAcentral. Lineage: Eukaryota; Fungi; Glomeromycota.
GACCUGGCUGGGUGGUCUUGCCGAAAGGUAAGUACUGUGCUGGUCGGGUCUUUCCUUCUGGGGAACCAGCGUGCUCUUAACUGGGUGCGCUGGGGAUCCAGGACUUUUACUUUGAAAAAAUUAGAGUGUUUAAAGCAGGCCUAUGCUUGAAUACAUUAGCAUGGAAUAAUAGAAUAGGAC